This 490-nucleotide ribosomal RNA is filed under the name uncultured bacterium. RNAcentral describes it as "partial 16S ribosomal RNA". It matches the Rfam family "Bacterial small subunit ribosomal RNA", at positions 30 to 507 of the family's 1533-position model. The record is from RNAcentral.
AUUGAACGCUGGCGGCAGGCCUAACACAUGCAAGUCGAACGGUAACAGGAAGAAGCUUGCUUCUUUGCUGACGAGUGGCGGACGGGUGAGUCAUGUCUGGGAAACUGCCUGAUGGAGGGGGAUAACUACUGGAAACGGUAGCUAAUACCGCAUAACGUCGCAAGACCAAAGAGGGGGACCUUCGGGCCUCUUGCCAUCGGAUGUGCCCAGAUGGGAUUAGCUAGUAGGUGGGGUAACGGCUCACCUAGGCGACGAUCCCUAGCUGGUCUGAGAGGAUGACCAGCCACACUGGAACUGAGACACGGUCCAGACUCCUACGGGAGGCAGCAGUGGGGAAUAUUGCACAAUGGGCGCAAGCCUGAUGCAGCUAUGCCGCGUGUAUGAAGAAGGCCUUCGGGUUGUAAAGUACUUUCAGCGGGGAGGAAGGGAGUAAAGUUAAUACCUUUGCUCAUUGACGUUACCCGCAGAAGAAGCACCGGCUAACUCCGUG